This 170-nucleotide ribosomal RNA is filed under the name uncultured bacterium. Its description in RNAcentral is "partial 16S ribosomal RNA". It matches the Rfam family "Bacterial small subunit ribosomal RNA", at positions 338 to 525 of the family's 1533-position model. The record is from RNAcentral.
UCUACGGGAGGCAGCAGUGGGGAAUAUUGCACAAUGGGGGGAACCCUGACGCAGCAACGCCGCGUGAGCGAUGAAGGUCUUCGGAUUGUAAAGCUCUGUCUUCGCUGACGAUAAUGACGGUAAGCGAGGAGGAAGCCACGGCUAACUACGUGCCAGCAGCCGCGGUAAUA